This is a long non-coding RNA of Lolium perenne, 1138 nucleotides long. RefSeq lists it as uncharacterized. The record is from RefSeq and is a predicted model, not a curated record. NCBI's taxonomy places the organism in Eukaryota, Viridiplantae, Streptophyta, Magnoliopsida, Poales, Poaceae.
CCUCGCGUGUCGAGUUGUCGUCCCAUCGCGACCUCACUCCCCCAUGCUCUCCUGCACCACUCCCCUCUCCCCCAGGCCUCCUCUCCACCUGACCCAGACCGGGCGCCACCGGCAGGCCGGCUGUACUGCUUCCCUCUUCCGCCUUCAACUCAUGGACCAAUGAGGCCCCAUUGCCUCUCCUCCUGGUUACCGAGUGGAGAAGCCCGCAACGAGGGAGGCGCCAGCGGACAUGGAGAUCAAAGUUCGCUUGAUGCGAUGGUGUUCGAUCUGCAUGCGCUGGCAUUCGACCUGCUUUCAUACGGCACGGAUGAUGCGUCUCGUCCGCCCGCCCGUGCUGACGCCGAGCAACAGAAGAUGAUUGACAGAGCGAGGAGAUGAGGACUGUCAAACACGAGGAGCUUGACCUCCACCGGCGUGGCCGUAUCUCAUCGGCUCUACAAGUGCAAGCUCGGGCAGGCUGUACCAUCUCCAAUUUCUAUAGAUCCCGCUCGCGCAGGUACUGAAUCAGUUUGGUCAUAAUUUGUAGUGUGUCAGUGGCAGCACACACCACAGAGCAGGCAGGCAGGCGAAACAGUAUCUGCUAGUGGUGCUGAUGAUAGGGCAGGAGCAUAACACCACCGCUAAGGAAGAGUUAAUGAGCUCCACUGCUUAACAUAUCCCUUGGUGGAUACAGUAGAUAUCAUGGCCUAUCCUGGAGAUUGUGCUUAUUUCUUCACAUAAUGAAUCUCUGAAAUGUUAUGAAGAAAGACAGCCUUGGACAAAUGUUAAGUAAGGGCACAACCAAGUGGUAUUGUUCCUCAAUUCUGAACAUAAUGCAUUUCAUUUCAGAUUUUGUUCACUGUUACUACCGCAGUUAUUCAUUUGUCCAGUUAGUGCAUAAUUACAUUUCUUAUCAACUAACUAACCCAAGGCUAAUUAAUGAAAAGCAAUCAUUAGAACUUCUAGAAAAAGAAAGACUUUUAUGCUUUGAGCAUUUAGGUAUACUUGGGGCAAAAGGGAGCAACACAAUUCUUGUAUUUAAGCCAAACACUCAUAUAAACUACUCCAAUCCAUGUCCUAUUUGUAGUUAUUAUGGUGAACAUGGCAGCAGAUAAAGCAAUCAAGAAUUAGGAGAUGACUAUAUAUGAUAACAUGAUCA